RNAcentral lists this non-coding RNA (107 nucleotides) under Drosophila pseudoobscura. The record is from miRBase by way of RNAcentral. RNAcentral also lists the same sequence under 1 other name. Lineage: Eukaryota; Metazoa; Arthropoda; Insecta; Diptera; Drosophilidae.
UACCUAAAUCCGCGGGGCCAUCUGCUUAUUAGGGGUCUGCUCGGGAUUAUCAAAUUGGUAGGUAGAUCUCUAAUAAGCAAAGGUCCCGCGGAUUUACCCAAUCGGUA